GAGAUAGUAGUCAAGUGGUAAGACAACAGCAAAAUAAUAAGGUUUGUUAAAAUCUUAUACAGCAAUGUUAAAAGGCAAGCUGUAAUCGUAGGUUCGAGUCCUAUCUAUCUUCCU
RNAcentral lists this transfer RNA (114 nucleotides) under Caudoviricetes sp. RNAcentral's name for it is "tRNA-Ile". It matches the Rfam family "tRNA". From Rfam's summary of the family: Transfer RNA (tRNA) molecules are approximately 80 nucleotides in length. Their secondary structure includes four short double-helical elements and three loops (D, anti-codon, and T loops). The record is from RNAcentral. Lineage: Duplodnaviria; Heunggongvirae; Uroviricota; Caudoviricetes.